AUUUACUUGUCUCCAUAGCUAAGUGGCUUAACCCCAACGAUGCCGUGACACCCCUAGGGGUGAAUUAGACAUAAUCAAAGAUUAAGGACUUAACCACAAGACAACUGUGAUGCCUCAGGUCAAAGGACUACUUUGCAUUAUCCCAACCAUGAGUUCUCAUGUGACAUGGAAUAUAAGAAACUCUUCGUUGAUCACGUUCAGUGAACUCAUUCUCUUAUUGAGCACCUACGUACUUGUCUUGAUGUCACACACACCAAUGACUCGAGACUAGUCACUCUCCCUGAGAGAAGACACAGUACGUACUGAUCUUAACGGACUGUCAAUGCCCAAUUGGUAAUCCUAUGAUCAGGAACAUUUAGGAUGUGUCUACGAAAGAAUGGUCUCAUUAAUCUAACUUCAUUAGAUUGCAUUCUCCCAAUCACAUAUUCCUUGGACUUUAUCGUUUAAGCAUAUAACAUUUAUAUGAGACGGCUCAAACAAUAAUCUUUGCCCUUUAUAUGUUAAACUAGAUUAGUUUAACAUUUGAAAUGUCCGUAAAGUAUCAUCAUAUGAUUGGUUUUAGGGCACAUUUCCAACAAUGCAUGCAUGUUUUGAAUUAUUAUUCACCGUGUUCAAACUAUUUAAUUGUCUUAGUGAUUCACGACCAUUAAGAUAUUUAGAAAAGUAAUUUGAUGCAAUUUUGGUUGGAAGCUUCUCUGAAAUUGGCGCUGGCUUGUUGUGGUUAAUAAUUGUAAUUUCAUUUGGGAUGAACACCAUGUCUUAAGGGUUGCAUGGUUUUUCAAAGGGUUUUCACAAAACUUAAUGAGUCUUUCAUGCUCAUAUUUGAGCCAAACAUCCGGACAGGUUGCAUGUUAGGUAUAGGUUUUAUGUUGGAGGUUCCAAGUAAGACAUACUUUAGGAAAACCUUACCUUCAAAAUAUGCAUGGGUAAUUCAUAAGUAAUUGAGAGAACUACCAAUUGAAGGAUGAUUUUGUGAAAACAUGUUCAUUUGAAUAACAUCUAGCAUGCAUUUAACAAUUAAAAGGCGGAAUCAUGCUUGCAUGCAUUCAAAAACAAAACAUUACCCAUGAAAUUCAAAGUCUAGUAGAUUGGUGAACCAAGAAUCAACUCAAAAUAAAGUGAGUUGAGAUUAUACCUUUGUAGAUUCCUCUUUGCAUAAGCAAAGGCUAAUCACCCAAGGAGAGGGCCUUCAUUCCUUGCAUCUAAAAUCUAUGGAUUUGGAUGGAUGAAAAGGUUUCUCCAAGUUCCCAAAAUUGAGAACCUCUAAGUCUCCACACCAAAGAGAGAUUGGAGAAGGAAUUAGUGACCUUGGAGUAGUGGGAUUGCUAGAUCCACCCUCCAAGGGGGGCCGGCCUCCUAGAGAGAAAAGGAGAGACAAGUUCUCACCAAUUUUCUCCAAAAGAACCCCUAAUGAAUUUUAGGCUAUAAAGUUCUUUAUAUAGUCACUUCUAUAAAUGACCUAAAAAACAAAAAAAAACCCCUAAUUCAACACAUAUGGCCGGCCACAUUAGGGAUUUGGGCUUUUGGGCCUUUGUGAAUCUUUAUUCAUUAAAUUGUCAUACAACUUAAGUCAAUGGGCUUGACGUUCGAAGCCCAUUGGGCCUUAAGGUCCAAAACUAUCCCGAGGUCUUUAACGAACUUAUUCGUUUGAUUAAUUAACAUAUUAAUUAAUCCUUGCCAUAAAUAAUUAAACCUUUUAAUUAUUCUUACUCAUCUCCAUUGUUUCUUCAAUCUCCACCUUACACGGUGUACGAUCCAUUAGGUUCCUUUUAGCGAGCCAGUGGGCGAUUAAAACUCUUUCAAAUCGAUUGUGAAUUGAAACUUACUUUCAAUUCUCCCUUUAGUGAUUAUACACGUUUAGGGCUUCCACAAACCAUGAGUGACACCUAGCAGCAUAUCAUGGUUACCCAAGCUAAUCAGAAGAGGUGGAGAACCUAUUCAGUUUAGGAUUACAAAUGCAAUACGGUCUUUCUCUAAUACAAUACUCUUGACCACAUUGUUUGGUUUGAUAGUUUAUUCAUGUCUACUAUCCAAUGUGAUUCGUGUGCUUAUAUGAUUACCUUAAAUGUGAUUUGGAACGUCUUCCUAAAUCUCAUUCAUACUUUGGCCAAAGAUUCUUAAUCAUAUCAUAGAGUAUUCUCCCUCAAACGGUUUGAAGGUUAGAGAUCCCUUGUUGCGCAUUCACUUGCCUCCAUGGCUAAGUAGCUUAACCCCAACGAUGCCGUGGACACCCGCGGAUGGGGUGACUUUGACAUAAUCAAAGAUCAAGGACUUAACCACAAGACAGCUGUGAUGCCUCAGGUCAAAGGACUACUUUGCAUUAUCCCAACCAUGAGUUCUCAUAUGACAUGAAUAUGAGAACUCUUCGUUGAUCGUGUUCAGUGAACUCAUUCUCUAUUGAGC
RNAcentral lists this long non-coding RNA (2403 nucleotides) under Malus domestica (apple). Its description in RNAcentral is "long non-coding RNA (MDOM_LNC005681)". Lineage: Eukaryota; Viridiplantae; Streptophyta; Magnoliopsida; Rosales; Rosaceae. The record is from RNAcentral.